AAUAACAAAUAAAAAAAGAAAAUCACAUUAUCCCAUUUUAUAGCUAUGAAAAUGCUUUCACUCCCACAAACCAGUUACUGGAAGGAAACUCCAUUCUCUUGCAAAAAUGCUCCAUUUCCAUACCUUAACACAACAACUAAAUAUUACAAUACUCGAACUCCAACAUUACCCAUUUCUUUAUCUUUAAUUUGGUCAUCACGCAAAAAACAAACCACCAACUCCAACGCUCACACUCUGCUUAGAGCUUCUUUCUCAGAUUCUGACUCUGUCCAGAAACAAGAAGAAGAACAAGUAGAAGAAGAAGAGUAUCAAGUACUGUCAGCAGUUAGAAGCAUGUACAAUGAUAUUGUAAUCGUAGAUACUGCAAAAUCUAGGGUGUUGCUUCUUGACUCUACUCGUAUGUGUUUUAUCUAAUUAAUUUUGUUUCUGGGUUCAGUUAAUUAUUAAUUUUUGUUGUCAUUUACAUUUUGUUGUUUUUUAUAUGUGAUAAUUAUGAUUUAUGCAGAUAAUGUUCAUAGCAUUCUUAAUAAGGGUCAGAAAUGGACUGGGUCUUAUUGGGUAUGUGCUAGUAUGUAAAACUCGACUCGAAGAAUUGCUGGAGACAGGCACUUGCUGCGGCCAUUCAUAGAUUCCAUUAACCGGUUUCCCUUCCACCAAUCGCACCCCCGCGGUUUAAUGUAAAUAUUUGUCACAAAUGUACGUACAUGCAUAGUUAAUUUGAUUGUACAUAUUCAAAUUUGAAACUUUUUACUCGUAGAAAAUCAACACCACUCAAGUAAAACUAGAGGGUGCCUAGAUGUAUUAUUUAUUUUAGUAAAUUUGAUGGUGAUACUAGUUGUUGGAACUCUAGACUUUUCAGCUUUAGCCUGUGUUUUUUACAGUAUUUAGUAACAUCACAUGUAUUUGAACUAGCUUAUUUAAACUAGUUUAAGGUAGGUUUUAUAAAAGGUCAAUUAACCCAUAUAAUCUUAGUUUUUUACAUUUUACGAAAAGCUAUUAGUUAUUCAAACAGCAAAAAUACUGUUAAAACAGAUUAGAAUAACUACGCCGAACAGACCCUUAGCUACACAACUUGAAUAUCAAUGAAUUAAAGUUAGACAAGUAAACUAAGAAUUCAAAACCCUAGCUAAUGGAUCACAUCAUAACCAAUUAACAAUUAAUAGCUAAAUUGAGUAAAUAAAUACCUCUAUAGGAGAAAAUUUCUGGUGGAAAAAAUCUUUUCGAUUACUAUCAUCAGCAAAGGCCCUGCAAACUUGAGCAUCAAUCAAGGAACGUCUGAGAACAUCCCAAUUUUUUCCCUUAACAAAAUGAUUCUGCAACCAAUGUGAAUAAUCUCCGAGUCUAUACUCCUUAAACCCUUUGCCAGACACAAUUUGACCGGCACGUUCAUUAGUAACAACAAAAACAAAAAUUGUGAAAAACAAAAGUCCAAUGAUCAUCAAAAUCAAGAUAAUUAGAUAAAUUACUAGCAAGAAAUUGUUCCUACAACAAGAACCAGCUAACCCUAGCAAGGAAACUAUAAAUACAAUGCUUCCAAGUAUAAAAAGAACAUUCUGCAAAGAUUGUCGGGAUAGAGCGGUUGCCACGGUGGUGUUGGCGGUGGAAACAGCCUUCACGUGAACAUAUAAUCCUCCAGCAAUUAUGGAUAGGCCAACCACGAGGAAGAUGAUGUUUAGGGUUGCAAUUACAAUGUUGCUUACACGAGCCAUGGUUAGUUUUGAUGGCGAGUUGCAAAUUGUUAAGGGGUGAAUGAGAAUUCUGUAUAUGGAUUCGUGUUAAUGGCGGUUUGUGUACCCUAAAGAGCGGAGGAGAACUCAAGUCUGUCUUUUCUGUAUAUUUUUAAAGAAAGAGUAGGGAUUUAGUGUCUUACAUAACAAGAAAGGUUUCUAUAUAUGUUAAAUUGAAUUAAUGUUUACAAUAUACAGCAGAGUAUAUAUACAAGUUAUGGAUUAGAAUACACUCCUAUAUUUACGUAACAUAAAUCUAUCUACACAACAGAAUUUGAUAGAUUCUGUUUAACACCAGUAUUCUGUUUUAACUAGCUGGAACUUCAUCCUUACCCAAUAGAUCAAAACUCAUAGUUAGCUUUUAGGAUGACAUGCUAGCUAUGAGUAGUGGAAUGUAGGAUACGGAAAUUAAUCGAAUCAUAUAUCGAAAAUGGGAAAACUAAUCAUCAUAAACUCCUUUUGGUGGAAUGGCUUGGAGAGUUGAAAGAAUUUCAGAGUUAAUCGUGCUUGCUUAACGGAAAUCGUAAGAUGGAUGACCUCUUGGGAAGUUUCUCAUUUCAUCUGUAGGACAAAAUUGUGUAGGUCUUGCCAAUCCAGUAUGGGAUGGAAUUGGCUUGAUCCAAAGCAGAUAAUUCCUUUGAUAGUUAGAGUCGGGCGUGAUAAUAUCCUUACACUAGAGAUGUAAGGGUGAUAGCGGGUCAGAUACUGGUCAAAAAUAGGCUAUCCAAACCCGAAUUCGAUUAGAGAUUUUGGUACCCAAACUGUUUUGGAAGUUUACUUUUAUUACCUGAAUCCAUUUAAACCCAAUUGCAAUUAUCUGGUUAUCCAUUUAACACUAAAAAAAAUAUUUUGUUUUUAAUUUUUUUAAAAAAACGUAAACGUCAUAAAACUAUUUUUUAAUUUAUACAAAUUUUGAUUUAUACAAAAAUAUGAUAUUUUUUGCUAAGCUAAGUAUAGUUAUAGUAUUAACCAUAAUUAGGGGGUAAAACUAGAAUACAGAUUUAAAAAUUUAUGUACUAAUACAGAAUUUAUUUUCACAGUUAAACUUAAACUAGUUAGAUAUAAACCGUUAGAUUUAAAAUUGAUCAAAUGAUUUAUUACCUAUAAAAUGGAUUAUCAAAAGUAGACCAUUUAGUUUUUUAUUAUUCAAAUAAAAAAAAAUAACAUUUUCAAGAUAACUACAAUUAUAUAAAACAAAAAAUUCAAAGAUAAAUAGUUGUCUAAUACUUCAAAUUCAUUUAUUCAAAAUAAAUAAAAUUUUUAUUUUCUUAUUGUUAAAAACGUUUAUCAUGUAUCAUGUAAUUUAAAUAAUAUCAUAUAUACAUGACAUCUCAUUAUGUUUUAAUAUAAUAUUUUUUAAUUAAAAAUUAAAUUAUAUAACUCCAAUACUUGACUUAUAAAAUGGACCCUUAUCAAAUUAUAUAAAUUUUUUUAAGUAUUCAGAAAAGGGUAUUCGAAUUUGAACCUAUUAUCAAACCGUAUAUAUACUUACCACUAUGUUAUGUCUUGGUGUGCUAAAUUAUAUAAAUCAAACUAUAUAAAUUGUACCUUGUUACUUCUAAUUUGUAGUUUAACUAAUCAUAAUUGUUAUCUUAUAUUUAUUUACAUUUUUUUAAAAAAAUAAUCCAUAUUGUUUAUUUAGUCUUAAAAAUAUUUAUUUAGUUUUUGAAAAUAUGAAAUUAUAUAUAUUCGUAUAUAUAAAAUAAUUAUUUUAAAAUUAAUUAAUCUUCAAAUUUCAACUUGAUCAAAUUUAUUUUCAUUGUAAAUUCUAUUUUAUAUUUUUCAAAAAUGAACUUUUACAUACUCAUAUAGUUUUUUAAAUAAAAUUUAUUUGGUUUAGAAUUCACAUAAUGUAAAAAUUCAUACAUCAUGAAUUUAUAACCUUCAUUUGUAAUUAAUAUAUUUUUAUAAGUUUUUUAAUUAAAAGAAAUUUAUGCCUAUAAUAAUUUAUCUAUUUUUUAUAUAUACAAAACUACUCUUGUAUGAUAUUUUAUAUACACAAUCCCAAUGAUAAAUAGCAAUUUUAUUUUUAAAAAUUCGUAACACUAGAAAUGAAAAUUUUUAUGUAAAUAAAAUUUGAAUUCUAAUAUUUUUUUCUAGAUAAUUUUAUAUUUAUCAUUAUAUUUUAUAUAAUACGUUAUAUAAAUAUGGAAAAAAAAGAUAAAGUUAUAAAAAAAUAUAAAUAAAAAACAGAGCAACGGGUAUCUAUAUCAAUUAAUGAGCAUUCUGUACCAAUACAAAAUAAUUACUAUCUGCACGGUAGUAAAAAUUUAUAAUUAAAAAGAUAGACCUUUUGUUUAUUUUUAUAAAAAAUAUUAAUUAAAUGGGUAAUAGGUAGUUAGUAUCCAUCCCUUCAAUCCGAACGUGACACAGACAUUAAAAUUAUUACUUGAAUCCGUUCUGAACUCUUAUAAUCAGCGCCUGAACUCAUCAAAAUUGGAUCGGAAGGAUCGAAUACUAGAUGGAUCGGAUAAAAUUGCGAUCACCAAAGAGAUGGGACUGUAACUGUAUUUUCCCAAGUGAACUGCCUAAACUAGUACUAUAUUGUAAAGAUUGAUUGCACUGAAUAAUUUCCCUUUACAAAAGCUGCAUUUCAUUUUCUUUCUCAAUAGCCAAAAACCGACAAAUACAAUAACAAAUAAAAAAAGAAAAUCACAUUAUCCCAUUUUAUAGCUAUGAAAAUGCUUUCACUCCCACAAACCAGUUACUGGAAGGAAACUCCAUUCUCUUGCAAAAAUGCUCCAUUUCCAUACCUUAACACAACAACUAAAUAUUACAAUACUCGAACUCCAACAUUACCCAUUUCUUUAUCUUUAAUUUGGUCAUCACGCAAAAAACAAACCACCAACUCCAACGCUCACACUCUGCUUAGAGCUU
This 4604-nucleotide long non-coding RNA is filed under the name Jatropha curcas. RNAcentral describes it as "long non-coding RNA (JCUR_LNC001693)". The record is from RNAcentral. Lineage: Eukaryota; Viridiplantae; Streptophyta; Magnoliopsida; Malpighiales; Euphorbiaceae.